GAUGAACGCUGGCGGCGCGCCUAACACAUGCAAGUCGAACGGCACCCCUCCUCGGAGGGAAGCGAGUGGCGAACGGCUGAGUAACACGUGGAGAACCUGCCCCCUCCCCCGGGAUAGCCGCCCGAAAGGACGGGUAAUACCGGAUACCCCGGGGUGCCGCAUGGCACCCCGGCUAAAGCCCCGACGGGAGGGGAUGGCUCCGCGGCCCAUCAGGUAGACGGCGGGGUGACGGCCCACCGUGCCGACAACGGGUAGCCGGGUUGAGAGACCGACCGGCCAGAUUGGGACUGAGACACGGCCCAGACUCCUACGGGAGGCAGCAGUGGGGAAUCUUGCGCAAUGGGGGGAACCCUGACGCAGCGACGCCGCGUGCGGGACGGAGGCCUUCGGGUCGUAAACCGCUUCCAGCAGGGAAGAGUCAAGACUGUACCUGCAGAAGAAGCCCCGGCUAACUACGUG
This 459-nucleotide ribosomal RNA is filed under the name uncultured bacterium. RNAcentral's name for it is "partial 16S ribosomal RNA". It matches the Rfam family "Bacterial small subunit ribosomal RNA", at positions 28 to 507 of the family's 1533-position model. The record is from RNAcentral.